This is a long non-coding RNA of Lingula anatina, 208 nucleotides long. The record is from RefSeq and is a predicted model, not a curated record. Lineage: Eukaryota; Metazoa; Brachiopoda; Lingulata; Lingulida; Lingulidae.
CUGCUGCUGCUGCUAAUUUGGAUUUCUCAUCACGUCAAGGCGAGGCACAAACGCACCGCGCCGAUAUAGACAGCGACUCCAUUAAAUCAACAAUUUUGCCAGAAGAAAUAUUACCAUCAAUCGAUUUCAUAAAACACGAAGAAUUGGAAGUCACAAGUCCAAAAGAUACCGAUGAAACCUAUGUAAAGUCUAUUUCAAGUCGAAAGUC